AGGUCUAACCCUCAGUGUGAAUGUGUUUGGAUAUAGAGCAUUUAAGAGGAAAGUCCAUUUUGAAGACACGACAGGAAGGUGGCCAUGUGCGAGACAGGAAGGGAUCUCUCACCAGAAACCUAAUCAACCAUCACAUUGAUCUUGAACUUCCAGCCUCCAGAACUGCGAGAAGUAAAUUUCUGUUCUUUAA
Molecule: non-coding RNA, 190 nt
Organism: Leptonychotes weddellii (Weddell seal)
Lineage: Eukaryota; Metazoa; Chordata; Mammalia; Carnivora; Phocidae
Source: RefSeq, a predicted model, not a curated record